ACCUCGAUGUCGGCUCAUCGCAUCCUGGGGCUGGAGAAGGUCCCAAGGGUUAGGCUGUUCGCCUAUUAAAGCGGUACGCGAGCUGGGUUCAGAACGUCGCGAGACAGUUCGGUCUCCUAUCCGCUACGGGCGUGGAAACUUGAGGGUACGCUUCUCUAGUACGAGAGGACCGAGAAGCACGAACCUCUGGUGUACCAGUUGUUCUGCCAAGGGCAUUGCUGGGUAGCUACGUUCGGUGGGGAUAAGCGCUGAAAGCAUAUAAGCGCGAAGCUCCAUCCAAGAUUAGGUUUCAUAGACUCCAGGGAGACUACCUGGUUGAUAGGCGGCAGGUGUAAGGCCAGCAAUGGUUUCAGCCGAGCCGUACUAAUAAGUCAUUC
RNAcentral lists this ribosomal RNA (377 nucleotides) under Parcubacteria group bacterium CG1_02_58_44. RNAcentral's name for it is "bacterial LSU rRNA". It matches the Rfam family "Bacterial large subunit ribosomal RNA", at positions 2523 to 2912 of the family's 2925-position model. The record is from RNAcentral.